Molecule: long non-coding RNA, 1373 nt
Filed under: Triticum aestivum (bread wheat)
Lineage: Eukaryota; Viridiplantae; Streptophyta; Magnoliopsida; Poales; Poaceae
Description: long non-coding RNA (TAES_LNC022089)
Source: RNAcentral
GAGAAUUCAGUAUAAGCUCUUGGUUACAUUCAGCAAGUUCAUCAUGCUGGAGAAGUCGAAGGGGCUGGCCGGAGCAGCCGCCCUGCGCGCGGGCUGCCGCCUCUGCUCCUCCGCCGCAAGUUACAGUCAUACACAUUAAACUGAUAUUAAGUUAUAUUACCUCUUAUUGAGUGUAACUGUGAACUACUGAACCCCAUUUAGACCAGUAAUGCAUUUUAUUUCUAUCGUCUACCUACCACAGUUGGAUAUUAACCAAUCAUAACAAUAUCUAUAUGACAUGGCUAAACAAAUUGACGAUCCCAAAAAAUGCUCGACAGACUCUGAGCGUACUCAUUGACAGGGAGCAAAGUAUUACAUCAUAUACUUGUAUAUCCUGGAGACAUUAGCACAGCGCCACCCAAAGUCUUGUAUAACAGUCUCAAGUUCAGAAUUGCUCAUAUACCCACGAAUCAUUUCUUCCCUAAAUUUGUUGGAAAAACCAUUGCGGGGCAUGUUUCAACAAAUAUUCCCUCGCAAGAAGAACAUGAAUAGAAAGUGAAAGCUCUGAUUACAAAGCAUAUGUGAUCUCAGGCUUAUCCUGAAGAAGAGUACGCGAAAACGACCCAUGUUUUUCAUCGAUGAUACCUGGUUAACAAUAGCAGAUUAUUACUUGGGUGAACACCAUAUGCUAGAAAUUGCAUGUGAAGUUUAUGAAGAAUGAAAAGACGACCAAAUAGAUGCUGAUUUUUUUCCUAUUCUUAUUUUUUCAAGGAGCUGAAUUAAUCUAUGGCAGGAAAGUGGCAGAUCGAUAUGCGGCCGUGACUGAUAAAGCGAGUUUGGGGAAACAGAGAAGAUAUUCAUUUGGUAACAUUAAUUGCGGGAGCUGAAUUAACAUGUGGCCAGCAAGUGGCAAAUGGAUGCAUAGUCUUGACUGAUAGAGCAAGUUUGGUGACAGACAGAGAGAAGAUAUGUGCCAUUUCAGGAAUCUAGGUUUACGAAUUAGUGUAGGAGUCACUCCAAAUCAUGCAUCCGGAGAGCUCUUGCUCUUCAUCACUGCCACUGCCAGUGCACUGACAGUCUGUCUUAACACCAGUCCCAGUCCGUGAAUAACAGCGGCAUAAUCCACGAAUUCAAGCCAACUAACGGAUCCGCGUCCUAUCGAGCUAGCCACAUGUACGAUAUCGGUCGCCGGUCCAGCAAGCGCGGCGUGCGUCGCUGCGCGCAAGGCCCUGGGAAACGGAAUCCAGAGGACGGACACGGAGGGUGUGAGAGCGGAGAGAACCUGAGGGAGACGGGUCGAGGCCACCUCUCGCGGCGGCCAGGAUGGGGAGCGAGGCGAAGGCGCGGAGGCGGAGGAGGAGGAGCGGGGGCGGAGCAGGGCGAGGCCGCCGUUG